Molecule: ribosomal RNA, 63 nt
Filed under: uncultured fungus
Lineage: Eukaryota; Fungi
Description: partial 5.8S ribosomal RNA
Rfam family: 5.8S ribosomal RNA
About the family: 5.8S ribosomal RNA (5.8S rRNA) is a component of the large subunit of the eukaryotic ribosome.
Source: RNAcentral
AAUCUUUGAACGCACCUUGCGCUCCUUGGUAUUCCGAGGAGCAUGCCUGUUUGAGUGUCAUUA